GUCUAAUCCGGGAGCCCGCUGUGGCCUGAGGACUGGCGGAGCUGUCUGGAUGCCUUCUGAUCUCCACUGCUACGUGGUAAUGUGCUUCCUCCAAGAAGACACCAUCCCAGCAAGAAGGAUCCAAUGAGUCUCAGAGGAGACACCUGCAUCCAUCUUUGUCUUUCUGCAGUUAAGGCACAUUAGGCUUCUGCAAGGUUAUCCAGACUCAGCCACAUUUGCUUACCAGCAAAACAGUGACUGCAACCACAGGCUUUUCCACGGAAGCAACCGACGGCAACGUAAACCACACCUGGCUCAUCCCCCACUACGGUCCACAGCCCUCAUUCUUCAGUGUCUACUGAACUACUGGAUCCAGCAGGAGUAACUGCGCUACACAAGUGCCGAGAUUGAGAGGGUCUUCAUUCUGCUCAGAACAAUGUAACAAAGAUGGAAAAAAAGGCCCACCCGGAAGUAUAGUAUCAUGGGACUUGUGAUAAUGAAAUAAUGCUAGAAAAUUCCAAAAACCUGAUCACACACAAAGGGCUGGGAAGGAGAAUAGCACUGCAUUUUUCAGUAGCAAUACCACGCACCA
This 571-nucleotide long non-coding RNA is filed under the name Fukomys damarensis (Damara mole-rat). RNAcentral's name for it is "lncRNA (ENSFDAG00000027327.1)". The record is from RNAcentral. Lineage: Eukaryota; Metazoa; Chordata; Mammalia; Rodentia; Bathyergidae.